AAUGUGGGGGUGUUUCUGAAUGGUAAUUUUUGUUGAACAUUGUGUUGUGAUGGGGCUACCAACCCUUAACUGUUUUGGAGUUUAAAUUGGAAGUGCCCUUCUGGUACGAGGCCUGACCGGAGGCUUUUAAUCUGGUACCACGGGUAACCAGGAGCCCACGGAACUUGUUCCGUCCUGGUUAGUUGGUGCGGCCCUUCGGGGAGUAUCGUGGUGGUUGUGGUUUAACACCCAAAUGCGGGUAGAGCAUCGCUCGACGUGGAGUUGCGUCAUACAACCGGGUUCCGUGACCCAGAUUACGGAAGAGGCUUAGAUAGUCCUCGUGCCAAACCAAGGUAGAAGUCACAACCAAACAGUCGUGUCUUUAAUUGGUACCUGCGGAAUUGUUCCAAGGGGGCGGUGAUUGACGCUUGAAUUAAUCCUAUACUAGGAACCGUGAGAUUAAGCCAUCGCGGCAGGUGCUCACGUUAAGCCCACUGACUUUCAUGUCCCUAUCUACUAUCUAGCGAAACCACAGCCAAGGGAACGGGCUGGGAAUAAUUAGCGGGGAAAGAAGACCCUUUUGAGCUUGACUCUAAUCUGGCAGUGUAAGGAGACAUAAGAGGUGUAGAAUAAGUGGGAGAUAUUAGACUUCGGUUUGGUAUCGACAAUGAAAUACCACUACUCUUAUUGUUUCCUUACUUACUUGAUUAAAUGGAACGUGUAUCAUUUCCUAGCCAUUAUACGGAUAUAAUUAUUAUGUCUUAUGGUAUUGGGUUUUGAUGCAAGCUUCUUGAUCAAAGUAUCACGAGUUUGUUAUAUAAUCGCAAACAAAUUCUUUAAUGAGAGAAUGCAUUUAUGUAUUAUUGAUUUAAAAAUUUGGUAUAACUCCAAUUACUCAGGUAUGAUCCAAUUCAAGGACAUUGCCAGGUAGGGAGUUUGACUGGGGCGGUACAUCUCUCAAAUAAUAACGGAGGUGUCCCAAGGCCAGCUCAGUGCGGACAGAAACCACACAUAGAGCAAAAGGGCAAAUGCUGACUUGAUCUCGGUGUUCAGUACACACAGGGACAGCAAAAGCUCGGCCUAUCGAUCCUUUUGGUUUAAAGAGUUUUUAACAAGAGGUGUCAGAAAAGUUACCAUAGGGAUAACUGGCUUGUGGCGACAUACGAUCUUACAGACGUCGCUUUUGAUCCUUCGAUGUCCGCUCUUCCAUCCUUGUGAAGAUAAUU
RNAcentral lists this non-coding RNA (1205 nucleotides) under Drosophila virilis. Its description in RNAcentral is "Eukaryotic large subunit ribosomal RNA". It matches the Rfam family "Eukaryotic large subunit ribosomal RNA", at positions 2022 to 2914 of the family's 3401-position model. The record is from Rfam by way of RNAcentral. Lineage: Eukaryota; Metazoa; Arthropoda; Insecta; Diptera; Drosophilidae.